AUGAGGACUUGGACCUUUUCUCUCAUUUUCCACCCCUUAACCCAAAAAGAGAAGCCUUCUCUUUCCCUCUCUAAACCUCUCUCUCUCCUAGCUCCUAGAGUGUUACUCCAAAAGUGGAGAUUUGGUGGAAGAAGCUUACUUGGAGGUGGAGCUUUGCUCUUCCUUACCAUUGGCUUGAAGAGAGCUUGGGUUUGGAUCGGAAGGAAUCGACGGCCGUAAAUCGCGCUACUAGGCUACCCGCUUUGUGUCGACGCCACAAGAGCCUAGUACGAGCGCGUGCGUCGAGGAUCGCGGCAAGGGCAUCGCGCCCUAGAUAGAGUGGACCAUCGACAUUAGCUCGCUACCCCCUAUGUAUAGCAAGGAAUGAAUGAAUGUAAAAACCCUUUUGGAAAGAGAAUGUGAUGUGUAUGUUAAAUGAGAGGUUUUGUAAUAAGCUAGAGAAUGUAAGUUGUUAAAGACUCUAUGUGGAAAUGUUUUAGUAAGUAGCUUGCUUUCUCUUGUGUCUUGAUA
Molecule: long non-coding RNA, 510 nt
Organism: Ananas comosus (pineapple)
Lineage: Eukaryota; Viridiplantae; Streptophyta; Magnoliopsida; Poales; Bromeliaceae
Exons: 2
Source: RefSeq, a predicted model, not a curated record